RNAcentral lists this long non-coding RNA (1525 nucleotides) under Sinocyclocheilus anshuiensis. Its description in RNAcentral is "lncRNA (ENSSANG00000015204.1)". The record is from RNAcentral. Lineage: Eukaryota; Metazoa; Chordata; Actinopteri; Cypriniformes; Cyprinidae.
CAGAGACCUGAAGGAAUAUGUGGAGAAGUUCCUCAACCUCUGCCAUAAUGUUACCUGCGACGAUGUCUGUUUAAUGGCGGGAUUUCGGUGUGGACUAGACAAAUAUCUCCGCUUCGCCAUGCCCCGCAGCGAGCGCUGCUGGACCCUGGAGUCUUAUAUCAACAUAGCGCUGUGGAAGGAUGGAUCCAUGCUCACAGUGAGCGAAAUGAAGGAUGACAGCAGCCUUGUCCAGCCACACCGCACAGAUGUCGCACAACCCGACCCAGAGCCCAGCCCACCAUCAUUCUGCUGCGCGGAGCCUAAGCCCAAGCCCACCACAGACGGAGAGCCUAUUCCAACCACGAUCAACAAGUCAUCGCCGAGGAGAGCGACAGAGCUGGAGAUCGUCCCGGAGCCCGAGCCUCUCGGAGCGUCUAUUCAGGUGUAUGUGCCGGCAACGGUGCUUGCCACGAGGGAGAUGGCCAUGGACGGCGAGAGCACGGAGGGAAGCUCCGCCCACAGCACCAUGGCUGAGGGUGAGCUGAGCUCAGUGGAUUUCGAUAUGGAUAUAUAUGCAGACCUGCCCGCUCUUCUCCCGUCUGAACACUCUGUCAGUCCUGUUUCAGCUAUGGAGGCAGUUUGUGAAUCAUCUGCCUGCCCUGAAUCAUCUGUCUGCCCUGAAAUCUCUACCUGCCCUGAACUGUAUAUCUGCCCUGAACCAUCUGACUGUGUGACAAUGACCAUGGAGCACGUUCCCCUGUCACUGGCGCUGCCGGUGUUGGGAGUGGCCUUAUGGUGUGUGUGGGCAGCACACACUGUUCCUAAGCCCCCUGAGCAUCUUGAACUCUUGCCCAUCCUCCCUCUCCCACCAUCUCUGUACCAGUCCUCCCCAUCGCCACCGCUGUCUCCUGGCAGCCCCUCUCCUCACCCUCAGCCCACCAUCUGUGCGGUGGGAUCACCACGGGUCUACCAGUUCCCAUCGGCGUCAUGGCUGGAGGAUCCCUUGCCUUCGCCUCCAGCCUCUGUGUCCCGGACUCAGCCUUGGCCCGUCGACCCAGCGGCUCCACCAUGGCUCCUAGCUCCCUCCUCUUCCCUCCUCUUCGCCAUGGCCCGUCAGUCCACCGGCUCCGCCAGGCUCCUUCUUCCCUCUGGCUCCACCUUGGUCAUCUGUCGCUCCGGCUCCACCACGGCCUUCCGGAUCCCCGACUCUGCCUCGGUCACCUGAGCCAUCUGCUCUGCCUUGGCCCUCCAGAUCCUCAGCGUCGCCCUGGCUCAUCGGCUCUCCGGCUCCUCCCUCUGUCAGCUCCACCGUGGGCCGCCAUCAUGGCUGGGGUCUGGGUCCCGCCUGGCUCCUCCUGUUCCCUCCUGUCUUCUCCCUGGCUCUUCCCUCUGUCUGGUCCGCACUGGCUCCUCCUGUUUCCUCCAUGGCUCCGCCCUCCGUCAUCACCACCCUGGACUCUGUUGGGCAUCCUCCUCCCGGUCAUCUGGCUACCUCCAGAACCUCCAGAACCACCUUCGACCUGUCUGUGCCAUCCCUUUUUGCCAU